This 76-nucleotide transfer RNA is filed under the name Thermoplasma acidophilum. Lineage: Archaea; Methanobacteriati; Thermoplasmatota; Thermoplasmata; Thermoplasmatales; Thermoplasmataceae. The record is from RNAcentral.
ACCACGGCCCUAGCCCCUAGCUUGGGCUCUGGAGGCCUAAUACUCAGGCCGCGAGGAGGUCNACUCGGUGGGGCCG